CGUAUUAGGAAAGAGAAACGGCCGCAGAUACCUUCUGCUUCUCUUUCAAGCUCGUCGGGGGAUUCUACCUCCAAAGUUUCUCAGCAGUGUUGGUUCGAUGAGUAUGAGCGCAAGCUUCAAGAAAUCAACCAUCGACUCGCCUAACUUUAGGUGGAAGGUCGGAAGUCCUCCAACGACUACGACUUUCACACCAGCCAACCUCUCUCUCGGCACAUCUUGGAUGAACCGAUCCCAUCUCG
This 239-nucleotide long non-coding RNA is filed under the name Elaeis guineensis (African oil palm). RNAcentral describes it as "long non-coding RNA (EGUI_LNC021348)". The record is from RNAcentral. Lineage: Eukaryota; Viridiplantae; Streptophyta; Magnoliopsida; Arecales; Arecaceae.